CCAAUAGCGUAUAUUAAAGUUGUUGCAGUUAAAAAGCUCGUAGUCGAAUUUCGGGAUCAAUUCGUCGGUCGUGCUUUUUGGUACGUACUGGCGUUAUUGGUUUCUCCUUUCUGACGAGCCAUGAUGUCAUUAAUUUGGUGUUAUGGGGAGUUAGGACUGUUACUUUGAAAAAAUUAGAGUGUUUAAAGCAGGCAUUAGCUUGAAUACAUUAGCAUGGAAUAAUGAAAUAGGACGUUCGAUCCUAUUUUGUUGGUUUCUAGGAUCAACGUAAUGAUUAAUAGGGUUAGUUGGGGGCAUUAGUAUUCAAUUGUCAGAGGUGAAAUUCUUGGAUUUAUUGAAGACUAACUACUGCGAAAGCAUUUGCCAAGGAUGUUUUCAUUAAUCAAGAACGAAAGUUAGGGGAUCGAAGACGAUCAGAUACCGUCGUAGUCUUAACCAUAAACUAUGCCGACUAGGGAUCGGAUGAUGUUAAUUUUUUAAUGACUCAUUCGGCGCCUUACG
RNAcentral lists this ribosomal RNA (501 nucleotides) under uncultured Glomeromycotina. RNAcentral describes it as "partial small subunit ribosomal RNA". It matches the Rfam family "Eukaryotic small subunit ribosomal RNA", at positions 591 to 1092 of the family's 1831-position model. Lineage: Eukaryota; Fungi; Glomeromycota. The record is from RNAcentral.